AGCUAAAUUGGUGAAGUGGGGGUGUGCUGAAUUUACAUGGAACGUGUCCGUUAGAGUAGUAAAAGUCGUUAGCAUUUUCGUUUGGGUUAGAGAGAGAAAACGAGGAUCUAAUAAGAGAGAGGGAGAUUAGGUGUGUUUUUCGUUGCAUACAUAAGCGAUUAAGCGUGUUUAUGUGAACAUUCAAGUUAGGCUUUUGAACUAGAAAAGCUCGUG
Molecule: long non-coding RNA, 213 nt
Filed under: Glycine max (soybean)
Lineage: Eukaryota; Viridiplantae; Streptophyta; Magnoliopsida; Fabales; Fabaceae
Description: long non-coding RNA (GMAX_LNC004227)
Source: RNAcentral